AUUCAAUGCCCUCUUUUAAUAGUG
RNAcentral lists this non-coding RNA (24 nucleotides) under Cricetulus griseus (Chinese hamster). The record is from RNAcentral. Lineage: Eukaryota; Metazoa; Chordata; Mammalia; Rodentia; Cricetidae.